CCCUGCUGAGAAUUACCGCCCUGGCAGACCUUCUGAAUUCACCAGCUAAGCCUCUCUCAUCUCUCCCUGCAGGUGUCCUACCAGGAAAGGGCCAUUUUCCUGCUCUGAAGUGACACCGCAGAUUCAGAACCGGCCUGUGUUGGGCAUUUUAUCCUCGUUGACUCCACUUAAUCCAGCCAUCCUGUCGACAUUAUCCCCACCUAAAGAUGAGGAGACUGAGGCCGGGGGUGGUCAGCCCCUGUGGGCAGAACCAGGGCAGCAUCUUAACCGGCCAAGACGCUCUGUCCUUCACCAGUGAAACACUCACGGGCGACUGCAAUUAAACUGGCUUGUAAUUCCCCGUCUCCCAAACGAACCCUCCCUUCAUGAGGAUGCGCUGGUAGGCAUCGGGCAUUAAUACAAAUGAGGCCGUGCAGCUAUGUGUAAUUAAAGGGGAAGAUGGGUACCUCGCU
Molecule: long non-coding RNA, 452 nt
Organism: Talpa occidentalis (Iberian mole)
Lineage: Eukaryota; Metazoa; Chordata; Mammalia; Eulipotyphla; Talpidae
Exons: 3
Source: RefSeq, a predicted model, not a curated record